CGGCCUUAAAACAUGGCAAUGUCAAAACGGUCGAAGCCCAGCUUGCUGGGUGGAUCAGUGGCGAAUUGGGUGAGUAACACGUGAGCAACCUGCCCCUGACUCUGGGAUAAGCGCUGGAAACGGCGUCUAAUACUGGAUACGAGUAGCGACCGCAUGGUCAGUUACUGGAAAGAUUUAUUGGUUGGGGAUGGGCUCGCGGCCUAUCAGCUUGUUGGUGAGGUAAUGGCUCACCAAGGCGUCGACGGGUAGCCGGCCUGAGAGGGUGACCGGCCACACUGGGACUGAGACACGGCCCAGACUCCUACGGGAGGCAGCAGUGGGGAAUAUUGCACAAUGGGCGCAAGCCUGAUGCAGCAACGCCGCGUGAGGGAUGACGGCCUUCGGGUUGUAAACCUCUUUUAGCAGGGAAGAAGCGAAAGUGACGGUACCUGCAGAAAAAGCGCCGGCUAACUACGUGCCAGCAGCCGCGGUAAUACGUAGGGCGCAAGCGUUAUCCGGAAUUAUUGGGCGUAAAGAGCUCGUAGGCGGUUUGUCGCGUCUGCUGUGAAAUCCGGAGGCUCAACCUCCGGCCUGCAGUGGGUACGGGCAGACUAGAGUGCGGUAGGGGAGAUUGGAAUUCCUGGUGUAGCGGUGGAAUGCGCAGAUAUCAGGAGGAACACCGAUGGCGAAGGCAGAUCUCUGGGCCGUAACUGACGCUGAGGAGCGAAAGGGUGGGGAGCAAACAGGCUUAGAUACCCUGGUAGUCCACCCCGUAAACGUUGGGAACUAGUUGUGGGGUCCAUUCCACGGAUUCCGUGACGCAGCUAACGCAUUAAGUUCCCCGCCUGGGGAGUACGGCCGCAAGGCUAAAACUCAAAGGAAUUGACGGGGACCCGCACAAGCGGCGGAGCAUGCGGAUUAAAUUCCGAUGCAACGCGAAGAACCUUUACCAAGGCU
This 936-nucleotide ribosomal RNA is filed under the name Microbacterium sp. HBUM178375. RNAcentral's name for it is "bacterial SSU rRNA". It matches the Rfam family "Bacterial small subunit ribosomal RNA", at positions 43 to 981 of the family's 1533-position model. Lineage: Bacteria; Bacillati; Actinomycetota; Actinomycetes; Micrococcales; Microbacteriaceae. The record is from RNAcentral.